This 588-nucleotide ribosomal RNA is filed under the name Entomacrodus corneliae. Its description in RNAcentral is "partial 16S ribosomal RNA". It matches the Rfam family "Bacterial large subunit ribosomal RNA", at positions 1815 to 2604 of the family's 2925-position model. Lineage: Eukaryota; Metazoa; Chordata; Actinopteri; Blenniiformes; Blenniidae. The record is from RNAcentral.
AUCGCCUCCCGAACCAAUCAAGCAUGGGAGGUCCCGCCUGCCCUGUGAUGAAAAUUUAACGGCCGCGGUAUUUUGACCGUGCAAAGGUAGCGCAAUCACUUGUCUUUUAAAUGAAGACCUGUAUGAAUGGCAUAACGAGGGCUUGACUGUCUCCCCCCUCCGGUCAAUGAAAUUGAUCCCCCCGUGCAGAGGCGGGGAUGACUCCAUAAGACGAGAAGACCCUGUGGAGCUUUAGACAAUGAACGGUGCCUGUAAAGAAGUGACUUAAAGCACAAAAACAAAAGGUUCCCCCGUUCAGCAUGUCUUCGGCUGGGGCGGCCACGGGGAACAUAAAACCCCCGCGUGAAAUGGAGACACACCCACUUAAACCUAGAGCAUCCCCUCUAAGUAGCAGAAUUUCUGAUCUAACUUGACCCGGCUGCAUUUGUGCCGAUCAACGGAACCAGUUACCCCAGGGAUAACAGCGCAAUCCUCUCCCAGAGCCCAUAUCGACAAGAGGGUUUACGACCUCGAUGUUGGAUCAGGACAUCCUAAUGGUGUAGCCGCUAUUAAGGGUUCGUUUGUUCAACGAUUAAAGUCCUACGUGAU